This is an RNA transcript of Triticum aestivum (bread wheat), 2843 nucleotides long. RefSeq lists it as uncharacterized. The record is from RefSeq and is a predicted model, not a curated record. The transcript is spliced from 4 exons. NCBI's taxonomy places the organism in Eukaryota, Viridiplantae, Streptophyta, Magnoliopsida, Poales, Poaceae.
GAUAGCUGUUGGGUUCGUGUGGCCAACGCAUUGCUGACAACUGAACGUGCGAGCGCCGCGUGUUGGGUCCCUCGUGCGAGGCGUCGCCCAUGUGUUGGUGGCAAACCCUUCCUCAAUCACAACAGCCGCCAGAGCCGCCGCGCCUCUCCUUCCUCCUCGCCACCCCCUCCCGCGGCGCGCAUCCCUCGGAUCAUCGUGCCCAACUCCCCUUCGUGUUUCUCCUCCUCCCAGAACCACAUCCCAUCGCUUAGGCUCCUUGGUGGCGGCCGGCUCAAGGCGAGCCUGGCGCAGGCGGGGAGAAGCAGCGGGGCGGCGGAUGUGGGUGGGAGAGUGCCGAACGGCGCCGUCAUUAUCGCCCCGCCAAGACGCAUCGAAGAAGGACCAGGAUCUCACCCUCGUCCCUUCUUGAUGCACCUCCCCAGUGAGUUCCUCCUGCCUAAUUCAGCUCCCCUUUCCAUCUAAUUUCAUUGUUGUUUCACAUGUUGGUUUGGUUGGCAAGAGACGUUGCGCCGCCGACUGCAGUAGCCAGGGUUGGCGUUGGUGAUGUCUGUAGUAUUUUCGUCCUCUCCAGUCACACAAUUCCUAGGUUAUGGGACUGGAUCUCCAUUUUCCAAGAUUCUUAGCUGAUAAGUAUAUUGUGCGGAAAAAUCUCUACUGAAUGACAAAUCCAAGCAAUCUGGAUACUCCAUGGGACAAAGUUGAAGCUUUGUACAUCACUUCUCUACCUGUUUAUUAAUGUUUCUUCAUGUUUGGCAGUGAUCUGGGUUUCCAUCGACGAAGAUUUCAUGCUCAACCUCCCUCACGGCCCCAUGUUCGGCUACUUUCCAGUUUUGUUAGUUUUCUUCUUGGUAGCACUGAACACCAUGGAAACAUGGGUGUCGUGGCCACACACAUGCAUUUUGUCGUCCUCCUUAAAAUUCAGUUAGAUUAUAUGCAAACAUGUAGCCGUGUUUACUUAAGAUCCAAUUAGAUGAAUGUUGUUUAUUUUUCCAUAUAGUUUCUAUUUACAAAGGCCUCAUAUGAAAGUUGGGGACAUGCCGUGAACAUAUGGUUUUGUGAUCUAUGGUCUUGAGUCAUAUGUUGGAUGGGUGAUAAUGGAAAUUUCUUGAGGAUAAACCCGUGCAUAAGUUUUGUGAGAGUUAAACCUGUUUUAUGAGAGGUAAAGCUGUUUUUUGAGAGUUAAACCCGUGCAUACGAAUGUAUUUUUUUAGAACUGGUCAAACUAUUUUUUGUGAGAGUUAAAGCUGUUUUUUGGAGGACAAACCCGUGAAUAAGUUUCUCAUAUGUAUAGAUUAAUUAAUAGGAUGGCAAUUUAAGUUUAUUGGAGCUCUUUUUAAGAAGUGGGGGUCUGCUUUGGUUUCUUGCUGUUUGCAUAUUCUCUUAAAAACACUUGACUGACUGCAGCUGACUGUUUUUACAUCAAUAAUAUGGGCAGUUGAAUAUGGCGUUUUCAAGUGAAGGAUUUCAAAAAUCUAAUAUGGCAUGCCUAUUUUUCAUGGAAAAACAAAUGGUACCUUAUUUACUAUUUAGUUUUUAAGCUAGACUAAUUUGACUACACGCGUCCUGAGGUGCCUUCUGUUUUGGAAUAGUCAUAGAAUGCUCCUUAUUACGAGAUGUUCCUUUGUCACUAUUUGAAGUUCUGCCUAGGGUGGCCUUUGUCUUAGUUUACAGCUUCAUAUGGCUACCUAUGUAUAACAUAUGUAUGUUCUGUUUGAACUGUCUCAAAUCACAUAGAGAUGUUAAAUUUUCAAUUUGUUGCCUCGCGGUCGUGUGACAUCACCAUGUUUACUCCAGAAAAGUGGAAUGUGCAGAGUUUUUGUGUUGAUUAGUCAAAUAUUUGCUUUGCCUUAAAGACUCUCCCCAUCUAUGUUCCAGGUUGUGGCAACGCUGCAGAUAUGCCCAUUGCCAUUGAGCAUUUCUAUCUAUAUGCUUCUACAGAGUAUUUGGUUUUUGUGCUAUACGCUUGAUGAAAUAAUUUCCUUAUAAGCUGGGACAAGGCGUUUGUAGUUGAUAUUUGUACUAUAAGCUCAAUUUUUUUGGUUCAUCUCAUCUCUGGUUAUUUUUUCGUUUUUUGUGUUUCUGUAGCAUAUUAUCAUUAGCAUAUAAAACCUCUUAUAUUUCUUGUUUUCAACAAUUAUUCUUUGGCAGGGAAGAUUAUGAUAACACUAAGAUUAUCAUGAAAGGAUUCAGGGCUUUUUUUGAAUCCAGAUUAUCACACAUGAUGCAAAAUUAACAACCACGACUUUGAAAUAUGGAUGAUGAUGCUUAUUAUGUGCUAGAAAUCAAAUAUGUAAAGGAGAAGAUAAUGUUUGCGAAGGUGUGUAUAUUGAACAAGCAUCCUGAUUGAUGUGUUUUUCUGUUGUUUCUUGAUGUGCCCUCAUGCAGCUGUGUCCAUAUAUACUGAUUGUUAUACUUAUUGUUGUGUGAGUUGCGGGAGAGGGGAGAGAGAUACGGGUUGAUUCUGGGUAAACUUUGCUUAAUUUGUUGGAGAAAAUGCUCGAUAGAUCUCAUGGAUGGAUGAGGUUGUGGCAGUAGUUCUCGGGUGCAAUAUCUAUCUUGAUAGAGUGACCAACCAGGGCACAUUAGAAGCAGAAGAAGAGGAAACGUUUGGGCCGUCUAUGGCGUUGAAGAUUCAGCGUUUCUGUCUUGUGUACAUGCACGGCCAGUUCAGUAACUAGAUGGCCUUUUCUACUGUACUGGUGCUGCUACUUUUCACAUGCUAGCUUCUUUGGAAAGCGCCAACAAUGUGUACAACAUGUAAAGAGUCCAUCUUGAAGGAACAGAAGCAGAACUAUGGAGCUGAUGUAUUAAUGGUCAAUCAUGGAAUUCAGUCUCGAUGAGCU